This 607-nucleotide ribosomal RNA is filed under the name Halomonas ventosae. Its description in RNAcentral is "bacterial SSU rRNA". It matches the Rfam family "Bacterial small subunit ribosomal RNA", at positions 39 to 642 of the family's 1533-position model. The record is from RNAcentral. Lineage: Bacteria; Pseudomonadati; Pseudomonadota; Gammaproteobacteria; Oceanospirillales; Halomonadaceae.
UCGGCAGCUACACAUGCAAGUCGAGCGGAAACGAUGGAGCUUGCUCCAGGCGUCGAGCGGCGGACGGGUGAGUAAUGCAUAGGAAUCUGCCCGGUAGUGGGGGAUAACCUGGGGAAACCCAGGCUAAUACCGCAUACGUCCUACGGGAGAAAGCAGGGGAUCUUCGGACCUUGCGCUAUCGGAUGAGCCUAUGUCGGAUUAGCUUGUUGGUGAGGUAAUGGCUCACCAAGGCGACGAUCCGUAGCUGGUCUGAGAGGAUGAUCAGCCACAUCGGGACUGAGACACGGCCCGAACUCCUACGGGAGGCAGCAGUGGGGAAUAUUGGACAAUGGGCGAAAGCCUGAUCCAGCCAUGCCGCGUGUGUGAAGAAGGCUUUCGGGUUGUAAAGCACUUUCAGUGAGGAAGAAGGCCUUGGGGCUAAUACCCCCGAGGAAGGACAUCACUCACAGAAGAAGCACCGGCUAACUCCGUGCCAGCAGCCGCGGUAAUACGGAGGGUGCGAGCGUUAAUCGGAAUUACUGGGCGUAAAGCGCGCGUAGGCGGCGUGAUAAGCCGGUUGUGAAAGCCCCGGGCUCAACCUGGGAACGGCAUCCGGAACUGUCAGGCU